RNAcentral lists this ribosomal RNA (500 nucleotides) under uncultured bacterium. RNAcentral's name for it is "partial 16S ribosomal RNA". It matches the Rfam family "Bacterial small subunit ribosomal RNA", at positions 29 to 523 of the family's 1533-position model. The record is from RNAcentral.
AUUGAACGCUGGCGGCAUGCCUUACACAUGCAAGUCGAACGGCAGCACGGGGGCAACCCUGGUGGCGAGUGGCGAACGGGUGAGUAAUACAUCGGAACGUGCCCAGUCGUGGGGGAUAACGUAGCGAAAGUUACGCUAAUACCGCAUACGAUCUCUGGAUGAAAGCGGGGGACCGCAAGGCCUCGCGCGAUUGGAGCGGCCGAUGGCAGAUUAGGUAGUUGGUGGGGUAAAAGCUUACCAAGCCUCCGAUCUGUAGCUGGUCUGAGAGGACAAUCAGCCACACUGGGACUGAGACACGGCCCAGGCUCCUACGGGAGGCAGCAGUGGGGAAUUUGGGACAAUGGGCGCAAGCCUGAUCCAGCAAUGCCGCGUGCAGGACGAAGGCCUUCGGGUUGUAAACUGCUUUUGUACGGAGCGAAACGGCUUCCACUAAUACUGGGGGCUAAUGACGGUACCGUAAGAAUAAGCACCGGCUAACUACGUGCCAGCAGCCGCCGUAA